AGGGUGGUUGACACCAGGCUUUAACUUAGUCUGGUCCCAGACCUGUUUGUGCUUUCAGAGGGAAACAGGGUGGUUGACACCAGGCUUUAACUUAGUCUGGUCCCAGACCUGUGUAUGCUGUCAUGACAACUUCUUGUUGCCAUUGUCCUGCGGCAGGUGGCUUCAUUCCUAGACGACAUGCAGUCCUCAACCAGUCAAUGCAGACAGAAUCAUCGCACUAUCUGAUGUAAGACAAUGCCUUGUCGGAGACGGCACGACCUUAUCUGGAACCAGGCUAAGGUCAAUGACAACAGGACCAGAUCUGGAACCAGGUUUAUGUCAACAGAACCAGAUCUGGAACCAGGUUUAUGUCAAUGACAACAGGACCAGAUCUGGAACCAGGUUAAGGUCAAGAGGGUGGAAGAUACAAGGCUGUUUGUUUCUUCAGCGGAGAAUAAAACUUGUAAAAAAUACAACUGGA
This 460-nucleotide long non-coding RNA is filed under the name Salmo salar (Atlantic salmon). RNAcentral describes it as "lncRNA (ENSSSAG00000107839.1)". The record is from RNAcentral. Lineage: Eukaryota; Metazoa; Chordata; Actinopteri; Salmoniformes; Salmonidae.